Long non-coding RNA from Triticum aestivum (bread wheat), 3349 nucleotides. RefSeq lists it as uncharacterized. The transcript has 7 exons. The record is from RefSeq and is a predicted model, not a curated record. NCBI's taxonomy places the organism in Eukaryota, Viridiplantae, Streptophyta, Magnoliopsida, Poales, Poaceae.
UGCUGUGCCUUUGAUGUGUGGGACCCAGUAGUCAGCGUCUAUCAGUGAUGAAUCCUUCCCCCAAUCCCCAAACCACCAUGGCGGCCACCGGCGAGCUGCGCCGCCGCCCAGCACAUAGCAUCCCAGUCACGCCGCGCGUCGUGCAGAGCCAUGGUGGUUGCCGACUUCAAGUGCGGAGAGGGAGGCGCCUGGCUGGGUCGACCGGGAGCACCUCAAGGGCUGGCCGAGGGCAUGCUGGAUGCAGUGCGACGCCGCGGUGCGUGCUCCCCGAGUUCGUCAAAAUCGAUUCCUCGAGCAAAGUUUGACCAUGGAAAUUAUUCGGGGCACUUCAGUGAAGGAGAAGAGGUGUUGCAACUUAUCGGCAAGGAAACGAUAUGCUCCCCUUUUAUCAGUGGUGGAGAAGCAAUGUGCAGCUCAUUGUCAGUGAUGAUGACAGCCACAACUCCAUGGACUACAGUAAUCAUUCACGGCACAUCUUGUGCAUUCUUCAGAAUUCACGCUUCGCGUGAUGUUAAUCUCCACAGUAGUAUGAUGCGGCAGGGUUACAAGAUGCUCUGAAAUGGACCGAAACCGCUUCAUCGUUGUGGCCUCGGUACAUGGCCUCUUAGAGGCAGAGCAUCCUGAGCUGCACCAUCAUCCUGGAGUUGGUUAUGUAUCAAGCUCCACCUCCUCUGAUUGUGCAUGGCUGAGGGAGUGGACUGGUACUUCGUCAGGAAGGAGAUUAACUGGCUCACAAAUUCACUUGCAACAUCAACCUUCAUAGCCAGGAUUAAUAAAGUAAGCUGCUGGUUGGUGGGGUGCUAAACACGGAUACUUUGUUUAAUUAAAGGCCCAAAGACGUGACCAGGACCAGUCAAUUUUUCAACCAGCUUGAAAAAGAAUUGGGCGACCAGUAUUUGUAGUGUUCAUGAUGAACUUCAGUGGAGAGAAGCAGCGCGCAGCUCAUUGACAAGGAAAUGAUAUGCGCCCUUUUUAUCCUGAUGAGCUUGACUGGAGAAGCCGGCUGCCACUAGUUUCUGGCAAAGAAACUGGUUGGAGAUGAUACGCGUUGCAGCGAACGAUGACGAGAACCGUGACUUCAUGCCUGACUCCUUUGGUUUCUUCAGAGCCCGGUCAGUCAAUCAGUACCUGUGUGUGGCUUAUUUUUGUGCUGGUUUAGUUUAGUUGACCUGGUUUUGUUUCCUGUGCAAAACUGGAAGUUUUCUAUGGAAUAUCCUAUUUGGUGCAAUUCUUCCGUCCGGUUUUGUGAAGUUUCUAGAAUGUUAGAGGCGUAUCUUUUGUUCGGUUUUUCUUCUGUUUUUUUCCUGUUCGUUUUUCUUUUCUUUUAAAAAUUCAUGAGCAUUUUUAAAAAAUCGCAGACUUUUUUAAAAAUUCUGAACAAUUUUUAAAUUUGUUAACUUUUAAAAAGUUUGGGAACGUUUUUUCAAAUUCAUGAGCAUUUUUUAAUUUCAUGAAGUUUUUUAUUCCUUCUCAGUUUCUUUGCGUCUUGAAAAAGAAGGACAAUUUUUGUUUGGCUUCCAAGUGGGCUGGGGAAAUUGAGAUUCUAGAUUGGAUUUUGGCUGAAAAAGUACCACCUGCCAGCCAAUCAGAACGAAGCUGCCUGUUCUUUGUACAUACAGUGACAAACAAGAGCUAGUGCCAUAUCCCGUCGCAGUGGGUGUACACGUACUUCCUCCAUUCAACUCAACGAUGUAACUAGGUAUGGUGGCCUCACUGUAGAUGUGUGAAUGGCGAUUUUUGAGUUAAUGGCAUCGAUCGGUUUGUGGUGCCUAAUAUUGAAAAGGAUAAAUGAAGAUAUGUGAAGAACUAGAGGGUGACGCGCGCUUUGUUGCUACGUCCUUCAAUAUGAGUUAAGCCUCUCUCCCUUUUACUUCUUAUCCGGUGGAGGCGAGCAUGAGGGUUUGUGUUUCUUUUUACACAUAAUUAAUACGGAAAUCAACAUAUGGGGCACCCUGUUCAUCUGGGCGUGGACCCAAUCACAACACACAUCACCGAUUCACCGACGACCAGGAGCCAACAUUCCUAGGAGUUUAGAAUCUUAUUCUUAGUAUACUUUGUUAAUAUUGCAUUUCUCUUGACCCCUUCAUUUGGGUUCUUUUUGCAACGUCUACCGUCACGGACAGAUAAUUUUCUUAACGUCCAAACAGUUGACAAGGACAAGCCAACUUGUCCGAACCACACUAAUUACUGUUACAUGAGAAAUUGUAUAUAUGUAAUUACCUUUGUGCAUGUCUUUCGUUCCAUCUUUUUAUUCAAUUGUGUGUGCCCUACUCUAUCAAUUUCUGACCACAGAAAUUUCUCGAGAUUUUUCCAGACGAGCUUGACUGGAGAAGCUAGGCGCCACUCGUUUCUGGCAAAGAAACUGGUUGGAGACGAUACGCGUCGUGGCGAAGGAUGACUAGAACCGCAACUCCAUGCUUGACCCCUUUGGUUUCUUCAGAACCCGAAAGAAACUGGUGGGAGACGGUACGCGUCGUGGCCCGUGGUGAUGAGGACCAUGACUCCAUGCCUGACUUAUUUGGAUUCCUCAGAGACCGACGAACUUCAGUGGAGAAGCAGUGCGCAAAUUUGAUCGUCGUCGAGGAAAUGAUACGCGCCCUUGUUUAUCUUGAUCAGUGGUGGUGAGAAUCGCAGCUCCAUGCUCCAGCAAUCUAUCUUUUCAAGGGUACAUGUAGGCAUGUUUGUUUGUACAUUUGCUCCUUUGGUAACUUGAUAACCCGAUCAGUCUCUGUCCAACAUAUAUUUUGUGCCAGUUCAGUUUUAGAUCUUAGACUUUUGCAAACACGUGAACAGAACACGCCACUAACCCGUGGCCUCGGGUGGUUGUUGAUCACGCGUUUUAUUACCGUGGAUAUUUUGUGGACCGUGCGACGUGCUGAAGGAUUUACAUUUCAUAACCUUAUAUAGCAUGAGUACACUAUAUCCUAGAGUGGACAUUGUGAUGAUUCCAUAUUCGGCUCAAACUAUUCGACGCGCAUUAGUCCAGAAGGUUAGUGGCUCUAGCUACUGUACAUAUGCAGGAAGAGAAAUCUUGCAAGCUAGUAGUACAUGGGAAUCAGAGGUGUCAUAAUCAUACUACUGUCGAAAUGGGGGAUAUCUAUUGCCUUAUGCAGAAGCAAUAGCAUAGAUACCAUGAUUCUCUUGACUUCUGUUAAUCAAAUUGUCCAACUGUUAUGGCUCAGCUUUCAUUAUAAACUGAUCAGUUAUGUUCAUAGACUAAUACUAAUAAUCAAACUAGUUAAUAAAUCAGUCUGCAGUCCGGCUUGGAUUAUUUUUAAUAAUCACACGAGUAAGGGGUAACUGAAAUCAGAUACAUUAUUCACAACUCACGCCUUCUGCUUCGCAAUUU